UUGAAAGCCCUGGAGGCAAAAGUCUUAUUUAUCCACAAAAUAGGUACAGCACAGUCAGCAGCAGCAAACACUUUCUCACACAUACACGCCUUUGCCUGACACUAGUACAGCUAGGAGAAUACAUUAGUCUCCAUGCCUACUCAGUCAUCUUGCUCUA
Molecule: small RNA, 157 nt
Filed under: Crocodylus porosus (Australian saltwater crocodile)
Lineage: Eukaryota; Metazoa; Chordata; Crocodylia; Crocodylidae
Description: TUC338 (ENSCPRG00005017948.1)
Source: RNAcentral